CAGUGGUUGGGUUAUGUGGACAAAGAGUAAGCUUACAGUGUAGAAGAUCAUCAGUAACUUGGAGAGUGCAGCCAUUCUGUUCAGUGUUCAAUUCUUUGUGUCUCUGGCACUCUUUAGGGAUGGAAAUGGCUCUGUGUUCAACUCAAGACAUGUUGAGUAAUCUUCCAGACAGUCUACUGGAAAACAUCUUUUCAAGUUUGUCAAUUAGAGACGUGGUGAGGACCAGUGUUCUAUCAACUAAGUGGAGAUACAAAUGGAUCUCAAUUCCACAUCUCAUAUUCAAUGAUGAAUGUAUACCAGGUUCAGAUGGUUUACUUGGUCAUGAUAAACUUGUGGAAAUUAUCAAUCAUGUUCUCGUAAUUCAUAGAGGCCCAAUCCU
Telopea speciosissima is the source of this 379-nucleotide long non-coding RNA. RefSeq lists it as uncharacterized. The transcript is spliced from 3 exons. The record is from RefSeq and is a predicted model, not a curated record. NCBI's taxonomy places the organism in Eukaryota, Viridiplantae, Streptophyta, Magnoliopsida, Proteales, Proteaceae.